Molecule: transfer RNA, 63 nt
Filed under: Cavia porcellus (domestic guinea pig)
Lineage: Eukaryota; Metazoa; Chordata; Mammalia; Rodentia; Caviidae
Rfam family: tRNA
About the family: Transfer RNA (tRNA) molecules are approximately 80 nucleotides in length. Their secondary structure includes four short double-helical elements and three loops (D, anti-codon, and T loops).
Source: Rfam by way of RNAcentral
GGGGAUUUAGCUCAACAGCAUAAGCACCUGUCUUGCAAGCAGGCGGCAUGAAUUCAAUCCCCG